CAGAGAUCAAGGGAGAACUAUGUGUCUCCCAACAGUUACAGCUGUAACAAGAUAUAAACCUAACCAUAAACACUGGGAUCCCUGAACUAGUUUCAUUCUUAAUGCAGGAAAGAAUUAUAUCCAUGUAAAAUAGUGACCUAUAUACUGUGAGUUGAUAAGUCAUAACAUUCUUCUACUUAGGGUUAUUGUGAAGUUUCUCCAAAGCUUUCCUGGAGGAAUUCAGGUUGGCUAUCUUGAAUAGGACCCCCGCCCUCCCCAGUCAUUUUAGAGACUCAGAACUCCACUGCAGACCUCUAAAACUACCUUCAAAAGUGGUAUACCAAAACACAACUAUUAUUACAUUGCAGCACUUUCCAGUGCAUAAAGACACUCAUUGUUUUCUGUUUCUUAAGAGUAUUAAUGUGCUUAUUUUUUUUCUUCUUUUAAGAGAGCUGGUUUUCAUAAAUCUUUGUAAAAACUGUACAUUGUUGCAAUAGCUGAGGGCACCUAAUUCUCAAGUUACAUGCAACUACCACUACUUUUUUUCUUAGCAUAACAGCACCUAACUGUAGAGAUGUUCAGAGAUGCACAAAACUAGGUAGCUGAGUCAUCCACGUCACUGCCAGUAAUUACUCACACAGGCGUUAUGCAACUGUGACAAAACUCAGCGGCCUUUGACAGACCAGGGGCAGAACGUGCUUAAGAGGAUGGACUACAAACACUGGGGAAAGUGAGAGAUGUAUUUAAACAGACAUGAAAAACAGACCGGUAUGUACAACAGCAGCAAUGUUCAACUCACGACCUUGCUUUUUUUUAAGGCAGCUGCUUCUAACACGAUUGCAAUCACAUUUUAAUGAUCUACUACAGUUAUUUAUAAGCAACACCCUUGCUGUAUCUAUUUUUAUUACCACGAAAAUACUUAUUCAUCCUACAUUUAGGAGGAAAGAAGUUCACUCAACAUCUGAAGCUUAAACUGCAUGACACAGACUCUUUCUACCUAUGCUUAAGGAAUUCCAAUAGUCACAAAAUUGCUUCACAAGUGACAUUUUGUCAUAGGAAUAUAAGAAUUCCUAACCAAAUGAGAACUGGACAGUGUACAGCCAAGAAUUUAAUUCUCAGCACUUCAAAGAAACUCAACAUGAACAAAUGUAAAAUAAUUAAAUCUUAAACUUCUUCCAAAAGUUAGUGUUGUUUUUAUGCCUUGAAGCGUGAAAAUUUGUUCCCUACCUUCAAGAUCAUGUUCUUCUCUUGCCAACUGUUUUCAGUUCAUCAAUUCGACACAAGUGCUACUUCAUUGGAAAUGCACUUAUUUUUAAUAAUGUAAUUCUAAAUUUAGUCAACAGGCAGAUUCCCCAGGGAGAAUCAUUUCUUAAUGCUUACCUCCAGUGAUACGUCUAAUGGACAAGAGCACUAAUAAGUGCAAGUAAUUUGGCCUUCAAGAUGCAGGAUGACUACCUCAGUAAUAUUAUUGACUCUCUGUAGUUGCAGAGGUCAAGGUCACCUAGACCUAUCAGAUUGCAAACAUAAGGUUGCAUUAAGUAUUAAAAGAUACAAUUCAUUCUAUGAACUUUAAAUGAGGAAUCCAAACCAAAAACUCAUUUUAACAUAAAAUAAACCAUUGCUAAAUCCCA
This 1610-nucleotide long non-coding RNA is filed under the name Apteryx rowi (Okarito brown kiwi). Its description in RNAcentral is "lncRNA (ENSARWG00000000369.1)". Lineage: Eukaryota; Metazoa; Chordata; Aves; Apterygiformes; Apterygidae. The record is from RNAcentral.